RNAcentral lists this ribosomal RNA (59 nucleotides) under Potamogeton pulcher. RNAcentral describes it as "5.8S ribosomal RNA". It matches the Rfam family "5.8S ribosomal RNA", at positions 1 to 59 of the family's 154-position model. Rfam says of the family: 5.8S ribosomal RNA (5.8S rRNA) is a component of the large subunit of the eukaryotic ribosome. It is transcribed by RNA polymerase I as part of the 45S precursor that also contains 18S and 28S rRNA. Lineage: Eukaryota; Viridiplantae; Streptophyta; Magnoliopsida; Alismatales; Potamogetonaceae. The record is from RNAcentral.
GACUCUCGGCAACGGAUAUCUUGGUCCUCGCAUCGAUGAAGAACGUAGCGAAAUGCGAU